Bufo bufo (common toad) is the source of this 189-nucleotide long non-coding RNA. RefSeq lists it as uncharacterized. The record is from RefSeq and is a predicted model, not a curated record. Lineage: Eukaryota; Metazoa; Chordata; Amphibia; Anura; Bufonidae. The transcript is spliced from 3 exons.
CAUGGACUCAGAUGCGACUGUGCGGCCGGGGCUGGCAGGAGGCGGAGCACAUGGAGGGGUAUGAUCAGGCCAUACCGGCACACCCACUCGAGCCCUGAGGCGGCCCGGCCCGCCCUAUGGCCAGUCCGGCCCUGAUCAGACAGUCAUGAUGAUUAUUAAGCUGUGCGGCCGGGGCUGGCAGGAGGCGGA